RNAcentral lists this transfer RNA (72 nucleotides) under Gemmatimonadota bacterium. RNAcentral's name for it is "tRNA-Asp". Lineage: Bacteria; Pseudomonadati; Gemmatimonadota. The record is from RNAcentral.
UUGCCGCUGGGGGAGUGGCACCACAUCGUCUUUGUCGCGGACAAGCGGAAGGUUCGCCUCUAUCGCAACAAG